Molecule: long non-coding RNA, 341 nt
Organism: Humulus lupulus (European hop)
Lineage: Eukaryota; Viridiplantae; Streptophyta; Magnoliopsida; Rosales; Cannabaceae
Exons: 3
Source: RefSeq, a predicted model, not a curated record
GUUUCAAAUAGCUAAUUGACUAUGUUGUUGGGGGAAGUUUUUAGGGUUUUUGAAAGGUUUUGAAGGAGUCAAAGCUUAUAGGAAGGUCCAAACCUUAAGCAAGAACACCAAAGAGUAUUGGCUAAGCGUAACUGGACUGAACGUUGGAGGGUGAAAACCUGCUGAGCGCUAAGGACUCCAAGUAAGAACAAGGGCAAGGCAGAGCAGUGAGCGCUGGAGUCUUCCUUGCAAAUGUACAUGUGGACCGACCUUUUGGGAAGCCUUUUUAUUUUUGGAAAUGUUGUGUAAUUUUCCUAAACUAGGCUCACUCUAAUCUUUAUAAAAUAUGUUUGUAACUAAAU